UACGUAGGGGGCAAGCGUUGUCCGGAGUUAUUGGGAGUAAAGAGCGUGUAGGCGGCUUUACAGGUCCGUUGUGAAAACUCGAGGCUCAACCUCGAGACGCCGGUGGAAACCGUAAAGCUAGAGUCCGGAAGAGGAGAGUGGAAUUCCUGGUGUAGCGGUGAAAUGCGCAGAUAUCAGGAAGAACACCCGUGGCGAAGGCGGCUCUCUGGGACGGUACUGACGCUGAGACGCGAAAGCGUGGGGAGCGAGCAGG
This 253-nucleotide ribosomal RNA is filed under the name uncultured bacterium. Its description in RNAcentral is "partial 16S ribosomal RNA". It matches the Rfam family "Bacterial small subunit ribosomal RNA", at positions 524 to 776 of the family's 1533-position model. The record is from RNAcentral.